GAUCUCAGAUGAAGUGAGACAACCCCCUGAAUUUAAGCAUAUUAAUAAGGGGAGGAAAAGAAACUAACAAGGAUUCCCCUAGUAACGGCGAGUGAAGCGGGAUGAGCUCAAUUUGAAAAUCGGUGAUCCAAGCGGGUCAUCGAAUUGUAGCCUAGAGACGUGUCAUCAGCGUGUGAGCCAGGUACAAGUCCUUUGGAAGAAGGCAUCAUAGAGGGUGAGAAUCCCGUCUCUGAUCUGGAUUUCGCCGCGUACGAUGCAUGUUCACAGAGUCGAGUUGUUUGGGAUUGCAGCUCUAAAUGGGUGGUAAGUUUCAUCUAAAGCUAAAUAUUGGCGAGAGACCGAUAGCGAACAAGUACCGUGAGGGAAAGAUGAAAAGAACUUUGAAAAGAGAGUUAAAAAGUACUUGAAAUUGCUAAGAGGGAAGGAAUAAAAACCAG
RNAcentral lists this ribosomal RNA (437 nucleotides) under uncultured fungus. RNAcentral describes it as "eukaryotic LSU rRNA". It matches the Rfam family "Eukaryotic large subunit ribosomal RNA", at positions 1 to 432 of the family's 3401-position model. The record is from RNAcentral. Lineage: Eukaryota; Fungi.